AAAUUGAGAGUUUGAUCCUGGCUCAGGAUGAACGCUGGCGGCGUGCCUAAUACAUGCAAGUCGAACGCUUUGUGGUUCAACUGAUUUGAAGAGCUUGCUCAGAUAUGACGAUGGACAUUGCAAAGAGUGGCGAACGGGUGAGUAACACGUGGGAAACCUACCUCUUAGCAGGGGAUAACAUUUGGAAACAGAUGCUAAUACCGUAUAACAAUGACAACCGCAUGGUUGUUAUUUAAAAGAUGGUUCUGCUAUCACUAAGAGAUGGUCCCGCGGUGCAUUAGCUAGUUGGUAAGGUAAUGGCUUACCAAGGCGAUGAUGCAUAGCCGAGUUGAGAGACUGAUCGGCCACAAUGGGACUGAGACACGGCCCAUACUCCUACGGGAGGCAGCAGUAGGGAAUCUUCCACAAUGGGCGAAAGCCUGAUGGAGCAACGCCGCGUGUGUGAUGAAGGGUUUCGGCUCGUAAAACACUGUUGUAAGAGAAGAAUGACAUUGAGAGUAACUGUUCAAUGUGUGACGGUAUCUUACCAGAAAGGAACGGCUAAAUACGUGCCAGCAGCCGCGGUAAUACGUAUGUUCCAAGCGUUAUCCGGAUUUAUUGGGCGUAAAGCGAGCGCAGACGGUUAUUUAAGUCUGAAGUGAAAGCCCUCAGCUCAACUGAGGAAUUGCUUUGGAAACUGGAUGACUUGAGUGCAGUAGAGGAAAGUGGAACUCCAUGUGUAGCGGUGAAAUGCGUAGAUAUAUGGAAGAACACCAGUGGCGAAGGCGGCUUUCUGGACUGUAACUGACGUUGAGGCUCGAAAGUGUGGGUAGCAAACAGGAUUAGAUACCCUGGUAGUCCACACCGUAAACGAUGAGUGCUAGGUGUUUGAGGGUUUCCGCCCUUAAGUGCCGCAGCUAACGCAUUAAGCACUCCGCCUGGGGAGUACGACCGCAAGGUUGAAACUCAAAGGAAUUGACGGGGACCCGCACAAGCGGUGGAGCAUGUGGUUUAAUUCGAAGCAACGCGAAGAACCUUACCAGGUCUUGACAUCCCUUGACAACUCCAGAGAUGGAGCGUUCCCUUCGGGGACAAGGUGACAGGUGGUGCAUGGUUGUCGUCAGCUCGUGUCGUGAGAUGUUGGGUUAAGUCCCGCAACGAGCGCAACCCUUAUUACUAGUUGCCAGCAUUCAGUUGGGCACUCUAGUGAGACUGCCGGUGACAAACCGGAGGAAGGUGGGGAUGACGUCAAAUCAUCAUGCCCCUUAUGACCUGGGCUACACACGUGCUACAAUGGCGUAUACAACGAGUUGCCAACCCGCGAGGGUGAGCUAAUCUCUUAAAGUACGUCUCAGUUCGGAUUGUAGGCUGCAACUCGCCUACAUGAAGUCGGAAUCGCUAGUAAUCGCGGAUCAGCACGCCGCGGUGAAUACGUUCCCGGGUCUUGUACACACCGCCCGUCACACCAUGAGAGUUUGUAACACCCAAAGCCGGUGGGGUAACCUUCGGGAGCCAGCCGUCUAAGGUGGGACAGAUGAUUAGGGUGAAGUCGUAACAAGGUAGCCGUAGGAGAACCUGCGGCUGGAUCACCUCCUUUCUAAGGAA
This 1584-nucleotide ribosomal RNA is filed under the name Weissella confusa. RNAcentral's name for it is "bacterial SSU rRNA". It matches the Rfam family "Bacterial small subunit ribosomal RNA". Lineage: Bacteria; Bacillati; Bacillota; Bacilli; Lactobacillales; Lactobacillaceae. The record is from RNAcentral.